Molecule: small nuclear RNA, 106 nt
Organism: Choloepus didactylus (southern two-toed sloth)
Lineage: Eukaryota; Metazoa; Chordata; Mammalia; Pilosa; Megalonychidae
Source: RefSeq, a predicted model, not a curated record
GUGCUCAAUUUGGCAGCACAUAUACUAAAAUUGGAAUGAUACAAUGAGAUAAACAUGGCCCCUGCACAAGCAUGAUGUGCAAAUUAGUGAAGUGUUCCAUAUUUUU